Molecule: unclassified non-coding RNA, 247 nt
Filed under: fungal sp.
Lineage: Eukaryota; Fungi
Description: partial internal transcribed spacer region
Rfam family: Eukaryotic small subunit ribosomal RNA (bases 1-46)
Source: RNAcentral
AAGUCGUAACAAGGUUUCCGUAGGUGAACCUGCGGAAGGAUCAUUUCCAAUCCAAAACUUAUCAACCCACUGUGUGCACUGUCUUAAUUUUCACCUUUCUGAGAAACUAUAUUACAUUUUAUAAUGCAAUAUAGGAGUAUCAGAAAGAUAUAAUAUUACAUCCUUUUUUACACCCCAUGUAGAUCUUAUCGAAAAAAAUUAGUUUAAUCUAAAAAAACAACUUUUAACGGUGGAUCUCUUGGCUCGU